UACGUAGGCAGCAAGCGUUGUUCGGAAUUACUGGGCGUAAAGAGUGUGUAGGUGGUGUCGUAAGUUUGGUGUGAAAUCUCCCGGCUCAACUGGGAGGGUGCGCCGAAUACUGAAUGACUUCGAGUGCGGGAGAGGAGAGUGGAAUUCCUGGUGUAGCGGUGAAAUGCGUAGAUAUCAGGAGGAACACCGGUGGUGUAGACGGCUCUCUGGACCGUAACUGACGCUGAGACACGAAAGCGUGGGUAGCAAACAGG
This 254-nucleotide ribosomal RNA is filed under the name uncultured bacterium. RNAcentral describes it as "partial 16S ribosomal RNA". It matches the Rfam family "Bacterial small subunit ribosomal RNA", at positions 524 to 776 of the family's 1533-position model. The record is from RNAcentral.